Molecule: ribosomal RNA, 902 nt
Filed under: uncultured bacterium
Lineage: Bacteria
Description: bacterial SSU rRNA
Rfam family: Bacterial small subunit ribosomal RNA
Source: RNAcentral
AGAGUUUGAUCCUGGCUCAGGAUGAACGCUAGCGACAGGCCUAACACAUGCAAGUCGAGGGAAAGGGUAGCAAUACCUGAAACCGGCGCACGGGUGCGUAACGCGUAUGCAACCUACCUUUUACUGGGGGAUAGCUUUCGGAAACGGAAAUUAAUACCCCAUAACACUACGAUAUCACCUGAUAAUGUAGUUAAAGCUCCGGCGGUAAAAGAUGGGCAUGCGUGACAUUAGCUAGUUGGUAGGGUAACGGCCUACCAAGGCUACGAUGUCUAGGGGUUCUGAGAGGAAGGUCCCCCACACUGGUACUGAGACACGGACCAGACUCCUACGGGAGGCAGCAGUGAGGAAUAUUGGUCAAUGGACGCAAGUCUGAACCAGCCAUGUCGCGUGCAGGAUGACUGCCCUAUGGGUUGUAAACUGCUUUUGUAUGGGAAGAAAGUGAGAUACGUGUAUCUCUUUGCCGGUACCAUACGAAUAAGGAUCGGCUAACUCCGUGCCAGCAGCCGCGGUAAUACGGAGGAUCCAAGCGUUAUCCGGAUUUAUUGGGUUUAAAGGGUGCGUAGGCGGUUUAAUAAGUCAGUGGUGAAAUCUUGCAGCUUAACUGUAAAAUUGCCAUUGAUACUGCUAGACUUGAGUAUAGUUGAGGUGGGCGGAAUGUGUUGUGUAGCGGUGAAAUGCAUAGAUAUAACACAGAACACCAAUUGCGAAGGCAGCUCACUAAGCUAUAACUGACGCUGAGGCACGAAAGCGUGGGUAGCGAACAGGAUUAGAUACCCUGGUAGUCCACGCCGUAAACGAUGAUUACUCGUUGCAAGCGAUAUACAGUUUGUGACUGAGCGAAAGCAUUAAGUAAUCCACCUGGGGAGUACGUUGGCAACGAUGAAACUCAAAUGAAUUGACGG